GUCUGGGUUCGGCGAGCUUCUUAGAGGCUGCGGUCCCUUCCUGUCGGUUUGGAUGCUUGCCGCGGAAUCUAUCCUUGAGGCAAUAAAGAUGUGGCAGAGGCCCCGAGGUUAAUCUGAAGAAGAGAAUAGAAGCAGCCAAGGAGGAUGCUGUUGAACCAGUUAGGAGGCUAUUGCAAGAGAUCCUAGCAAGAGACAAUGAUGAUGUGGACUUGGGAAAUGGCAGAGGAGAUGCAGACAAGUGUCCAGAUUUCAGAGAUGAAAAAACGUCCUCAAAGAGAAACGUUUUGCCAUUGUG
Long non-coding RNA from Carlito syrichta (Philippine tarsier), 295 nucleotides. RefSeq lists it as uncharacterized. NCBI's taxonomy places the organism in Eukaryota, Metazoa, Chordata, Mammalia, Primates, Tarsiidae. The transcript has 3 exons. The record is from RefSeq and is a predicted model, not a curated record.